This 442-nucleotide ribosomal RNA is filed under the name uncultured bacterium. RNAcentral's name for it is "partial 16S ribosomal RNA". It matches the Rfam family "Bacterial small subunit ribosomal RNA", at positions 338 to 795 of the family's 1533-position model. The record is from RNAcentral.
CCUACGGGAGGCAGCAGUAGGGAAUCUUUCACAAUGGGCGAAAGCCUGAUGGAGCAACGCCGCGUGCAGGAUGAAGGCCUUCGGGUUGUAAACUGCUUUUAUAAGCGAGAAAUAUGAUGGUAACUUAUGAAUAAGGAUCGGCUAACCACGUGCCAGCAGCCGCGGUCAUACGUAGGAGCCGAGCAUUAUCCGGAGUGACUGGGUGUAAAGAGUUGCGUAGGUGGGAUAAUAAGUAGCUAGUGAAAUCUGGUGGCUCAACCAUUCAGACUAUUAGCUAAACUGUUAAGCUCGAGACCGUUAGGGGUAACUGGAAUUUCUAGUGUAGGAGUGAAAUCCGUAGAUAUUAGAAGGAACACCAAUAGCGUAGGCAGGUUGCUGGGACGGUUCUGACACUAAGGCACGAAAGCGUAGGGAGCAAACGGGAUUAGAUACCCCAGUAGUC